GACGAACGCUGGCGGCGUGCUUAACACAUGCAAGUCGAACGAUGAAGCCUAGCUUGCUAGGUGGAUUAGUGGCGAACGGGUGAGUAAUACGUGAGUGACCUACCUUUGACUCUGGGAUAAGCCUGGGAAACUGGGUCUAAUACCGGAUACGACCAAUCUCCGCAUGGGGUGUUGGUGGAAAGCGUUAUGGAGUGGUUUUAGAUGGGCUCACGGCCUAUCAGCUUGUUGGUGAGGUAAUGGCUUACCAAGGCGACGACGGGUAGCCGGCCGGAGAGGGUGACCGGCCACACUGGGACUGGGACUCGGCCCAGACUCCUACGGGAGGCAGCAGUGGGGAAUAUUGCACAAUGGGCGCAAGCCUGAUGCAGCGACGCCGCGUGAGGGAUGACGGCCUUCGGGUUGUAAACCUCUGUUAGCAUCGAAGAAGCGAAAGUGACGUUAGGUGCAGAGAAAGCGCCGGCUAACUACGUG
Molecule: ribosomal RNA, 471 nt
Filed under: uncultured bacterium
Lineage: Bacteria
Description: partial 16S ribosomal RNA
Rfam family: Bacterial small subunit ribosomal RNA
Source: RNAcentral